Molecule: non-coding RNA, 45 nt
Organism: Schistosoma rodhaini
Lineage: Eukaryota; Metazoa; Platyhelminthes; Trematoda; Strigeidida; Schistosomatidae
Source: Rfam
AUCCCGUUGAGGAGUCCCAGAUAGGACGAAAUACGCAUCCUUGAU